Molecule: long non-coding RNA, 550 nt
Organism: Patella vulgata (common limpet)
Lineage: Eukaryota; Metazoa; Mollusca; Gastropoda; Patellidae
Exons: 4
Source: RefSeq, a predicted model, not a curated record
GUAUUUAAAAUUCGGUGUAUAUAGUGCAGUAUUGAAUAAACUUCACAACCAACAGUCACAAUAAUGUCAUGUGGGAACAAUAGAUUACUAGAGUAAGCAGGGGGGCACAAAUCAGAUACGAGACAACAAACACAACGGCCAUGUAUGUUAAACAGGAAGUUAUUUGACUUGUAAGAUAUGCGCUAGGAAUAGGUAUUAGUGCAAUGGGGCAACUUCGAGUUCUCAGUUUAUUGGUUUAUUUUGUAAUGUUCAUACAUGUUUACAGUACAGUCAUCAUCGAGAAUCCAGUACCCUGUAAUGGUCCAUUUAACAUAACUAUUCAGUUUAAUACUAGUGUUUCUACAUUUGAAUGGUACAGAGAUGAUAUUUUCUUUUAUGUUUCUGAAAUCAGUUUAUCGGAUACAUAUACUGUACCGUUUCCUCCUGAUCCACCAACCAUUCCUGAUGACCAAAACGAAGGUUUUCCGGUAAAAAUUGGAUUACUUAAGAUAUGGAUUUUAAUUGAGUAUUUAAUAAAACUUCAAUUUUACAACGUUGUCCGUUUUUUAUA